AACGAACGCUGGCGGCAGGCCGAGCACAGGCAAGUCGAACGAGACCUUCGGGUCUAGUGGCGCACGGGUGCGUAACGCGUGGGAACCUGCCCUUAGGUUCGGAAUAACUCCCCGAAAGGGGUGCGAAUACCGGAUAAUGUCUUCGGACCAAAGAUUUAUCGCCUGUGGAUGGGCCCGCGGUGGAUUAGCUAGUUGGUAGGGUAAAAGCCUACCAAGGCGACGAUCCAUAGCUGGUCUGAGAGGAUGAUCAGCCACACUGGGACUGAGACACGGCCCAGACUCCUACGGGAGGCAGCAGUGGGGAAUAUUGGACAAUGGGCGAAAGCCUGAUCCAGCAAUGCCGCGUGAGUGAUGCAGGCCUUAGGGUUGUAAAGCUCUUUUACCCGGGAUGAUAAUGACAGUACCGGGAGAAUAAGCUCCGGCUCCCUCCGUG
This 433-nucleotide ribosomal RNA is filed under the name uncultured bacterium. Its description in RNAcentral is "partial 16S ribosomal RNA". It matches the Rfam family "Bacterial small subunit ribosomal RNA", at positions 29 to 507 of the family's 1533-position model. The record is from RNAcentral.